AGCAUAUUCAGAGAUCUUGAGUGGGAC
This 27-nucleotide non-coding RNA is filed under the name Bombyx mori (domestic silkworm). The record is from RNAcentral. Lineage: Eukaryota; Metazoa; Arthropoda; Insecta; Lepidoptera; Bombycidae.